UCUUUAUGUGCUCCCUGCCUGAAUCUACCAGCCAGCGAAUGACAACUGACUGAGUAUAAAUACUAGGACUACAGAACCGUGAUAAAAGGUGCCUGAGCUGAGUCCACACACUGGAAGCCCAGAACUGAGGGAACAGAUGAAAGAAAGAAAGUCAGCAGGUUUAGGGGAUGAGAACAACUCACAAAGGACAAGCCAUUGGUGUCUCCUGCCCCUGGCCAGGGAGAGCCACAGGCUGGAUGACAUCUGGUUUAUAGUGAGGGGCAGCAGCAACUCCAAGAGGGGGAAGAUGUGACCAUGAGCCCCGCCCCAGACCCAGGAGGCUUGACCUUGGGGCUGCCGUAGCAGUGGAUGCUCUUCAGGUGAAUGACCUAUCCUGGGCCCGUGACCCUGGACUUCAGCCAGAUCAGCAUCUCAAGGUGAGACAACGUCUUACUAUUCUUUCCAGGCUGAUUGGGAACUACUGGCCUCCAGUGGUGAUGCAACGUAGGCCUCUCGCACCCGAGUUGUUUUUCUGGAAAAAGUAAAAUUAACAAACACUUGGCUAAACUAACUAAGAAAAAAAUAGAGAAGACUCAAAUAAAUAACAUGCGAAAUG
This 595-nucleotide long non-coding RNA is filed under the name Homo sapiens (human). Its description in RNAcentral is "non-protein coding lnc-NBPF9-7:3". Lineage: Eukaryota; Metazoa; Chordata; Mammalia; Primates; Hominidae. The record is from RNAcentral.